Homo sapiens (human) is the source of this 613-nucleotide long non-coding RNA. RefSeq lists it as uncharacterized. The transcript is spliced from 3 exons. Lineage: Eukaryota; Metazoa; Chordata; Mammalia; Primates; Hominidae. The record is from RefSeq and is a predicted model, not a curated record.
UAAUCAUUCAGAAACAUGUUGCAGACUUAAGCCAUUUUUGAUAUAGAUACUGAAACAAUUACUUGCUAAGAGCAAACUUGAAGGUAUGGAUAAGGCCCUGAGUCAUCUUCCUGAGCUGAAUGAUAGUUAAGCUGAAUUAACAAUUUGGACAAGACAGCAAAUGCUAUUGUCAAAGUUUUCUAAAGAAGAAUCUGAAGUGAAAUGACAUCAAGAGACCUAUCAAGACCUGUAUCCAGGAAAAGGGCUGGCAUCUCUAAUGCUGAAAGUACAACAAAGUGCAGUGGUAGUCACUGAGUGUUCAGCCAUGCUGGGUCAUCAAAAUAAAAGGAGAUUGUCUUCCCAUUCCUAUCAAUGACCUCAUCUCUACCAGAUAUAUAACUGGAAAAACAAUGCAUUUGCUUAAACAUCCACAGUGAGCCGCCACACUUGUUUGGUGUUGUGGGGAAAUGAUGGAGAAGCAUCCUUGUUUAUUAAGGAUCCAAUUUUGAUAGGCUGAGGCAUAUUUUUCCUCCCAAGUCUGCACAUGGUCAUGCAUUAAAUAUUAAUGAGCAUCUUCUCUCUAUCAGGCUUUGGGGGAUAUGUUCACCUCUUGGGAGGUGAACAUGAUAAAUAA